GUUUGAUCCUGGCUCAGAACGAACGCUGGCGGCGUGCCUAACACAUGCAAGUCGAACGGGGUCAAUGCUGUAGCAAUACAGUGUUGACUUAGUGGCGGACGGGUGAGUAACACGUAGGUAACCUACCCUCAAGAGGGGGACAACUCAGGGAAACUUGAGCUAAUACCGCAUAAGACCACGGGUUGGGAUAUCUGUGGUAAAAGGAGCAAUCUACUUGGGGAUGGGCCUGCGGCCUAUCAGGUAGUUGGUAGGGUAAUGGCCUACCAAGCCAAAGACGGGUAGCCGGGCUGAGAGGUCGGACGGCCACACUGGGACUGAGAUACGGCCCAGACUCCUACGGGAGGCAGCAGUGGGGAAUAUUGCGCAAUGGGGGAAACCCUGACGCAGCGACGCCGCGUGGAGGAUGAAGGUCUUCGGGUUGUAAACUCCUUUUCUUAGGGAAAAUAAUGAUGGUACCUAAGGAAUAAGCCACGGCUAACUCUGUGCCAGCAGCCGCGGUAAGACAGAGGUGGCGAGCGUUGUUCGGAAUUACUGGGCUUAAAGGGCGAGUAGGCGGUGAGACAAGUCCGAGGUGGAAUCCUUUGGCUUAACCAGAGAACUGCCUUAGAUACUGUUUCACUUGAGUCAGUGAGGGGAGGGCGGAAUUCCCGGUGUAGCGGUGAAAUGCGUAGAUAUCGGGAGGAAGGCCAGUGGCGAAGGCGGCCCUCUGGUGCUGAACUGACGCUGAGGCGCGAAAGCGUGGGUAGCAAACAGGAUUAGAUACCCUGGUAGUCCACGCCCUAAACGGUGGGCAUUAGGUGUAGGGUCUGUAAAGGCUCUGUGCCGAAAGGGAAACCAUUAAAUGCCCCGCCUGGGGAGUACGGCCGCAAGGUUGAAACUC
RNAcentral lists this ribosomal RNA (880 nucleotides) under uncultured bacterium. RNAcentral's name for it is "bacterial SSU rRNA". It matches the Rfam family "Bacterial small subunit ribosomal RNA", at positions 11 to 902 of the family's 1533-position model. The record is from RNAcentral.